This 1771-nucleotide small RNA is filed under the name Rattus norvegicus (Norway rat). RNAcentral's name for it is "uncharacterized LOC102550355". Lineage: Eukaryota; Metazoa; Chordata; Mammalia; Rodentia; Muridae. The record is from RNAcentral.
CCGGUCUAAGGUCCCCGACUGGGGCCACAAGUCCCUAAGGACUCCUGGGUCCCUAGAUUAUUAGCACAAAGCUUCUUGGGUAGUUGAGAAGCUUCGGGCUCCCCUUUCUCAGGGCCUAAAAAUAACCAGGCAAGAGGAACUCUGAGUAGCUAGCAAAUGUGCCAGCCAGCACCCCACGCAGCGGAAGCGCCUCCAAAUAAGGCCUAGACAAAGCGGAAGACAGCACGCAAGCCCGUCAGCACUGACGUGGAUUCCAGAACCUGCCCUCCCUGUACCCUCAGAGUCUCCCCUGGAGCCUGUGUGACUCAGGGACGCAGGAGUCGGAUUUGUUCACGGUGUCCAGAGCUUACUGGGCAAUUCAUUAAAGCAGUCUGCCCUUGGGUCCUGGAACUUUUAAGUUCCUGACAGGAGUAUGGAGCUGCAAGUGAGGACUCUGAGGCUGAGCUUUACUGAGUCAACAGUGAACAUGGAGCUGGAGCCACUCUUAACUGGCUAACACCUGUAUGUGCCCCAUCUGCCCUCCAUAGUGGCUGGUGCAACCCAGGCCCUGCUGAGGCUCGAGGAUUCUCUCAGAGGCUCCUCUGCUAGCUUCUCCAUAGGUGACUGGUGACUACAGCCAGCAGACCCAGAGAAGGGCAGUGAGUCAAGACCAACCAAGGGUCAUGGAGACCUCAGGCAGUGAGAGGAACUCCAUGUGCUCGCUGGACCUGACCUUAUAAGAAGAGAGGAAGUUUAACCUGGCUACGACUACACGACCUCCUCUGGUGCUGCUAUCUUGAGGAGCCUUUGGAGUUAGCCUGGUGUAGCCUGUGGGAGCCAGAGCCUGUCUACCAACCCCAGCACCACGAUCUCAUCAGUCCUCAGUGAUCCCGGAUAUCUCAAUGCCUUCCCUCCCCUUCUUGUACUAGCUCAUGGUUUAAGGGCUCCUAACCAUUUUUUAAGCCUCCCCUUUGGGGACAUGGGAGUUUUUGGUAAUAUCUGGGCAUCUGAUAUGACUUAGCACCUCCAGCCUGGACAGUCACUCAAUACAUAGGAAGCUGUGUGCCCUUGAAGAGCCAUACCCAAGUCACUGGCUAGGUCUACAUUCAAUUUCUCAUCACUGUCUGGUGGCUUUGAUCCAAGAACACCCUGAGUCUACCCUGGCAGCCAGCACAGUAUUCUAAUGCCACUGUGAGAGGCAAUGGCACUGGGCAUAACCGAAGGACCUAGAUGGGCUUGGAAAAGGUGAGUUUGCCAGAGAGAAUGGGUAUCCCAGGGGAACCACACAACAGCAGAGAAGCAGCCAAACAAUGUGGGAAGGGUGUCCUCAGAAGUCUGGAAGACCCACCGAGGCCUAGAUGUCAGCUAAUCAAAGGUCCUGGUUAAAUAUGAAAGGUUCAGUGGCCACAAGAGAGCAGUAGGUGAUUAAGCAGGUUCACAUAAGACCUACUUGAGGGCAGGAUAAAUGAGGCAGGCAAUAGGCCAAGUGGACAUGUGGGGCAGCCUGUCCUGGCUGAGGGCAAAUGGAGCUUGGGAAUGGGGCUGCUGAGGUAGCUCCGGGGUCUUAAACUCUUCUUGAGUAUGGCAGCACCUGCACUGACGGCCCUUGCUCUUGCUGACCAUUGGAACACUAUGUAACGUCUGGAGCUCUGAGUCGAGCCCUUCCCACCAGAUAGGCUAUGGAGUUAAGAUUAAGCAGAGAAGCAGUCCUGGCCUGUUGCACAUGUCUUGUGAGAGGCCAGAGAUAUACUCUGAGGCAUUUAAUAAAGAUAGGACUCAACAAAGACAAAAA